Molecule: ribosomal RNA, 389 nt
Filed under: uncultured bacterium
Lineage: Bacteria
Description: bacterial SSU rRNA
Rfam family: Bacterial small subunit ribosomal RNA
Source: RNAcentral
GACGAACGCUGGCGGCGUGCUUAACACAUGCAAGUCGAGCGGUAAGGCCCUUUCGGGGGUACGACGAGCGGCGAACGGGUGAGUAACACGUGGGUGACCUGCCCUCAGCUCUGGGAGUAAGCCUGGGAAACCGGGUCUAAUACUGGAUAUGACUCCAUGACGCAUGUUGUGGGGUGGAAAGCCUUGUGCGGCUGAGGAUGGGCCCGCGGCCUAUCAGCUUGUUGGUGGGGUGAUGGCCUACCAAGGCGACGACGGGUAGCCGGCCUGAGAGGGCGACCGGCCACACUGGGACUGAGACACGGCCCAGACUCCUACGGGAGGCAGCAGUGGGGAAUCUUGCGCAAUGGGCGAAAGCCUGACGCAGCGACGCCGCGUGAGGGAUGACGGCC